This is a ribosomal RNA of Morganella morganii subsp. morganii KT, 107 nucleotides long. NCBI's taxonomy places the organism in Bacteria, Pseudomonadati, Pseudomonadota, Gammaproteobacteria, Enterobacterales, Morganellaceae. The record is from Rfam.
CCUGGCGGCCGUAGCGCGGUGUCCCCCCACCCCCUCUCAGAAGUGAAACGCCGUAGCGCCGAUGGUAGUGUGGGGUCUCCCCAUGUGAGAGUAGGGAACCGCCAGGU